GACAGAGGUGCCAAGCGUUAGGCGGAAUCACUGGGCUUAAAGCGUGUGUAGGCGGAUCGUUAAGUACCUUGUGAAAUCCCACGGCUCAACCGUGGAACUGCUGGGUAUACUGGCGAUCUUGAGCCACCUAGGGGCGAGCGGAACAAGCGGUGGAGCGGUGAAAUGCGUAGAUAUCGAGAGGAACACCUGCGGCGAAGGCGGGUUGCUGGGCUGAUACUGACGCUGAGGCGCGAAAGCCAGGGGAGCGAACGGG
Molecule: ribosomal RNA, 253 nt
Filed under: uncultured bacterium
Lineage: Bacteria
Description: partial 16S ribosomal RNA
Rfam family: Bacterial small subunit ribosomal RNA
Source: RNAcentral